UGAAAUGCUCUAGUGAUGAACUCUCUUCUCAAUUGAGCAUUGAAAGCAAUGAAAAAUUAGUGUAUUCUACAAUUUCAUUAAUUUUUAUUUCAGGUGGCGUAAGUGGUAGCAUGUUCGGAAGGUAUCCUCCUUCACACACGUUUUCAUCUUUAACAGCCUUUCCUCCGUCUCCGCUUCAUGAUCCUUGGGCUAGGUUGCAAACUAGAGCAGUGCCUGGCGCUUACCCAGGCGGCACGCCACCGACACCAUGGACGAUCAAACCCGAUCCAGCGGAGCUCGAGCGAGAGCAGCGUGAGCGAAAGGAACGAGAGCAGAGCAAAGAGCGGGAACGGAUGAAACGAGAAGAGAAGCAGCGCCGGCUUUUAAUUCACCAACAGCAACAGCAGCAACAACAGCAGCAACACCAUGCGUCACCGUUGCACCACCACACGACUCCGUCACCAAAGAUGGUCAGAGACCGGAGUCCGCUCAGGGAAUCAAUGCCUGUCGUAGUGCCCAAAGAAGAAGAGGUCGUUCUGCUCGGCAGACCGCCUCCACACUUCCUACCGCCACGACAAACUCCACGUACGCUUCCUUCACAUUUCACACCGUGGGAAAACCCCUACAGGUACGAUCCAAUGAGAUUCACCCCACUAAUGGCUGCUUAUCGAGCUGACGAAGAGUCGAAACUCUAUGGUGCUUACCCUCCUGCUCCUCACUUGAGGAAGGACCCUUCGCCGACUCUGCGACCUCUACCUCCGAACACGGACCACCUGAAGAAAGAAGACACCUCGCAAUCACGAUGA
Molecule: long non-coding RNA, 785 nt
Filed under: Bemisia tabaci
Lineage: Eukaryota; Metazoa; Arthropoda; Insecta; Hemiptera; Aleyrodidae
Description: lncRNA ENSSSA1NGG012405
Source: RNAcentral